ACGUAGCAGAUCAAGAGUAAUUCAAAGGGGGUACAGCUCCUUUGAAAAAGGAUACAUCCUCCCCUAGAGGAUAACUACUCAGUACUUCCAGAACUGUAGGCCCUAAAGCAGCCAGGAACAAAAAGUGCGUCAAAGCUUCUCACACAAAAAUCCAUAAAACAACGUGACUCCCUUCUCACCAACAGGCUAACCUAUGCCAAUAGAAGGAUCAAUGCUAAAAUGAGUAACCAGGGAAUCCCCUCUUAAGCGCAACGUUACAUCACCACAUUAUUAACAGACACUGAUACAUCAAAUCCAACAAGAUUGAAUAUCAAACCAACCCUGUUAACCCAACCCAGGAGCGCCCACUAGAAAGAUUAAAAUCUGUAAAAGGAACUAGGCAAACCCAAGGCCCGACUGUUUACCAAAAACAUAGCCUUCAGCAAGCCAAGUAUUGAAGGUGAUGCCUGCCCAGUGACACCACGUUCAACGGCCGCGGUAUCCUAACCGUGCGAAGGUAGCGCAAUCAAUUGUCCCAUAAAUCGAGACUUGUAUGAAUGGCUAAACGAGGUCUUAACUGUCUCUUACGGAUAAUCAGUGAAAUUGAUCUCCCUGUGCAAAAGCAGGGAUAAGCACAUAAGACGAGAAGACCCUGUGGAACUUAAAAAUCAGCAGCCACCACAAGCACACCCACCACCUAUUAGGCUCACUACACCUAUAAACGCUGGCCCGCAUUUUUCGGUUGGGGCGACCUUGGAGAAAAACAAAUCCUCCAAAAAUAAGACCACCCCUCUUGACCAAGAGCAACCACUCAACGUACUAACAGUAACCAGACCCAAUAUAAUUGAUAAACGGACCAAGCUACCCCAGGGAUAACAGCGCAAUCUCCCCCAAGAGCCCAUAUCGACAGGGAGGUUUACGACCUCGAUGUUGGAUCAGGACACCCUAAUGGUGCAGCCGCUAUUAAGGGUUCGUUUGUUCAACGAUUAAUAGUCCUACGUGAUCUGAGUUCAGACCGGAGCGAUCCAGGUCGGUUUCUAUCUAUGAUUGGGCCUUCCCUAGUACGAAAGGACCGGGAAAGCAGGGCCAAUACUACCAAGCACGCCCUACCUCCAAGUAAUGACCUCCACUAAACUACCUAAAAGGCCACCCACACCCUAACAUCCUAGAAAAGGAUCGCUAGCGUGGCAGAGCCGGCAAAUGCAA
Molecule: ribosomal RNA, 1185 nt
Filed under: Vultur gryphus (Andean condor)
Lineage: Eukaryota; Metazoa; Chordata; Aves; Accipitriformes; Cathartidae
Description: partial 16S rRNA
Rfam family: Bacterial large subunit ribosomal RNA (bases 1-1040)
Source: RNAcentral